Lolium rigidum is the source of this 3079-nucleotide long non-coding RNA. RefSeq lists it as uncharacterized. NCBI's taxonomy places the organism in Eukaryota, Viridiplantae, Streptophyta, Magnoliopsida, Poales, Poaceae. The record is from RefSeq and is a predicted model, not a curated record. The transcript is spliced from 5 exons.
CAUCAAGAUUCGUCUGCCCAAUGUCCACGACGAAGGAGGAUCAAGAUGAGGCCUAGGCGCGUGAGGAUAGGAGCGCCAUGAGGCAGGUAUUUCUGACCCUCUCGCAGCUCCCCGCCACCGACCUCCGGACCUCCAACGCUGUUGGUUCUCCCCGAGCCCGGAUGCCAAGAUCCCUCGGGCCUCUGCCCACCGUCCAUGGCGGAGGAGGAGCACGACGGGGCCUGGGCGCACGAGAUCCCUCUGACCCCGCCGCCAAGAUACCUCUAACCACAGCGACCUGAUCCAGUUUCCUCAUUUAUUGCAAUAUAAGGGUUGCAAUCUGGGGGCCAGUUCAUUGCGGUGCACCACAGUUCACCAUAACUUUUUCCGCUUCUCCAAUAUUCUGAAACUGUUGGAUGAGGCAUAACUGGCUCCAAUUCUUUAGGAACAGAUUUGAACAUUCGGUCAUUCUAAAAUUUCUUGAAGAACUUGCUAUGUCGUGCAUUUCCGUGCCUACAAUAAUGGUAACAAGUCAUCUUCGCUAAAAUAUAAUAUGAUGUUCAUCCUAAUCAAAACAGUUGUUCAACCAUCUCAAUUCUGAAUAUAUCUAUGUACAUUUUCCUUAUAUCUCAGUUUUGCAGAAGAAACAACUUUCGAAUUCUCGUCAGAAUAAGAUUCAGUGGUAUUCGGCAACAGAUUAUUCUUAUGUGUAGUCCCGGAUCUUUUUCAGCAUGUGAAAGUUUCAAAACCCGAUUCCUUAUUUGACACUAGAAAAGCUUAUCUUCCCUAUUUCAUACCAUGCCAAAUUUUCUUUGCCUAUAUGACAUUGCCGUCUGUAACCUUGGGCUCUUCUGUCAAAUUUUCUUGAUCAAAUUCCUCAAUUUCUACAGCAAAGGUCUCAAACUAUCUUUUAGUCUGGUUGGUAUUAAUAUAUAGGGAAGACACUAAUAUAAGUUUGGAGGUAGAGCUGUGCAUACCCCAAUAAUACCAUGUAUCAAGAAUUGGAAUAUGGAAAUAAAGAGAGUACAAGGGCGAUAUGAAUUGUACAUCUCGUUGCACCUUCUGUCAUGAAAACUUUGGAUUCAGGACCAUACCCAACCAUUUGCUAGAGGAAACAAAACCAAACCAAACUCUUGUCAGAGUCAACCCAUUAAGGCCUGAACCAAAUGAGACCGUUCGCACAACCUGACCCAAAGCACCCGGUUAAGCCAGAACCAAUCUCACAUUUAGUUGUAGUUGCCUUUAUAACUUUAUUUAUGUCUCUGCUCCGACACGUGACCAUUUGAAAAAUUAACGCUUAUAUUAAAACAUAUAACAUAUACUUUCUGAGGUGACUAUCCACAUUUUUAAGGUAUAUGGAUUUGGGGCACUCCUGUUGAGGUUGAUGGCUCCAAAGUGUAUGUCUUUUACCUGGACACUGAAGGAUUUGAGAGCAUUGGAAAAUCGAAUGUAUACGAUGAUAGGUUUGUUGCCUACAAAUAAUAUGUGCAAUAAUUAUGCAUUAUUAAUUUCUCGUUCAGAUGUGUUUUGGGGCCUUUUGUUUUCAAAGGAUAUUUGCUCUUGUAAAUUUUUUUUUUUUUUUGAGUUCUCUUCUUGUCUACAAUCUCCCCGAGAGAAUGUGUUUCUAUGGUCUUUGAUGCCUCCGCAACUCAUAUUCGAUACUCUGCUUUAACUAAUAGCAUCUCCUUGUCUUAGUAUGUGCUUGAUAUACAAACUGAACAACACGCUGAACAUGAAGAUCUGGGAGAGGGAGCAACCCACAUCCUGAGUUGGAAAAAUAAAGUGCUGGGAAUUGUAUCUUCUUCGGGAAAACGAUGAGGAUGAGACCUUUGGUGGCUGAAAUCAGUCAACCUGAAACACUACUGUUCAUCUGCUCCCUAUGACCUGACGCAAUCUCCUGAGACUAAGGCACUGGGCUUUGCUGCAGGAUUUAGAUCUUCCUAUCUAUUUGCCUACGUAUCUGGUAUCGGGAUGUACAAUACCCAGAAACUGGUGCCACAGGAGGCCUCUCACAUUGGAUGUUCUUCCUACGAUGUCAGGCGCUUCUACACACUUUGGACUUUUUUUAGCUAGGAUGUUUCUAGAUAGACUAGCAGCAUCAGAAAUGCAUUUUAUUCAGCUAUGCACACCUAUAAAAAUUAAUAUGAAUAAAAGACGCUGCUAGAUAACCAUUCUAGGGGGAGCUGCUGGGAUCUAUUAGGAUUAUCAUCGAGACUGAUUUGAAACUGUUGAUGCUAGCACUCAAUAAGCGCCAAUGCAACGCUGGAAAAUUUGAAACUACAGCUUGUUGUGAGGUCAUAGCUUGUAGGUGAGAGGAAAAUACACCAGCACAUGAGAUGGACAGUUAGGAAGCCAAGCAAACAUAAUAUAAUGUUUUAGUUUCUACCUGAUAAAUACCAUUGAUAUUAACAUUAUUACUGCAGUUCUUCAUUUUGAUGGUGCGUAAAAUUAGAGCUGCUGCUUGGUUUCACCCAAAAUUCUUUGAUGUUUAAUGUAAGAUUUUGAAGUAUAUUAUACUUCAAUUGAUGGCACUAUGUCAAUUAGUGGUCCAUUAUCUAGAGGAUUUACUCACAGGACAAUGUUUGUUCACUUUCUAGGGGGAUUUUGUGGAUCAACUCAUUCAAUCACGCGCGUGUGAUGACAUCUUUGAGUAUGCGCGGCCAGGGAUGGAGCUGACAGGGAGCAGCGGCAGGCCGUGGGUGGUCAUCCCAGCGAGCCAGGGCUUCGGUGAGAACAUCGCCGACUUCAAAGACGAUGCACGACAGCUCGACGCCACCUCUGGUUUCUGCCCUGACGUGCUCUACUCUGCCUCCGUAGGCGCGUCGCGUGGAACCGCCUUCUGUUCGAACCUGGAACCGUCCCGUCUCACCAUGUGCACCUAGCUAGGUUUGUCGGUUCACCUAAAGCAUGUGCCAUAUUGCUUGUCAAGGAAUAUGUUUCGGAAAAACAGUUUGAUUGUAGGUGCAUAUUAUUCAGUAUUUCCUAGAAAUAGUUUGUAUACAACAUGAAGUAGUUUUUCUUUGGUAAAAUAUACUCAAGGAUGAGUGAAUAUUCCUCAAAACUGUUUAGUUGUACACAACAUGAACUAAUAAUAAUAACU